CGGAUGCUGACGAGUGGCGAACGGGUGAGUAAUACAUCGGAACGUGCCCAGUAAUGGGGGAUAGCUCGGCGAAAGCCGGAUUAAUACCGCAUACGCCCUGAGGGGGAAAGUGGGGGACCGCAAGGCCUCACGUUAUUGGAGCGGCCGAUGGCUGAUUAGCUAGUUGGUAGGGUAAAGGCCUACCAAGGCGACGAUCAGUAGCUGGUCUGAGAGGACGAUCAGCCACACUGGGACUGAGACACGGCCCAGACUCCUACGGGAGGCAGCAGUGGGGAAUUUUGGACAAUGGGGGAAACCCUGAUCCAGCAAUGCCGCGUGUGCGAAGAAGGCCUUCGGGUUGUAAAGCACUUUUGUCAGGGAAGAAAUCCUUUGGGCUAAUACCCUAGGGGGAUGACGGUACCUGAAGAAUAAGCACCGGCUAACUACGUGCCAGCAGCCGCGGUAAUACGUAGGGUGCAAGCGUUAAUCGGAAUUACUGGGCGAAAAGCGUGCGCAGGCGGUUGUGUAAGACAGGUGUGAAAUCCCCGGGCUUAACCUGGGAAUUGCAUUUGUGACUGCACGACUAGAGUGUGUCAGAGGGGGGUGGAAUUCCACGUGUAGCAGUGAAAUGCGUAGAUAUGUGGAGGAACACCAAUGGCGAAGGCAGCCCCCUGGGAUAACACUGACGCUCAUGCACGAAAGCGUGGGGAGCAAACAGGAU
Molecule: ribosomal RNA, 700 nt
Filed under: uncultured beta proteobacterium
Lineage: Bacteria; Pseudomonadati; Pseudomonadota; Betaproteobacteria
Description: bacterial SSU rRNA
Rfam family: Bacterial small subunit ribosomal RNA
Source: RNAcentral